UACGGAAGGGGCGAGCGUUGUUCGGAAUCAUUGGGCGUAAAGGGCGUGUAGGUGGUUCUGUAUGUCUACCGUGAAAGCGUACGGCUCAACCGUAUUUAGUCGGUAGAAACUGCAGGACUUGAGGCUGGGAGGGGCUGGUGGAAUUCCCCGUGUAGCGGUGAAAUGCGUAGAGAUGGGGGAGGACACUCGUGGCGAAGGCGGCCAGCUAGACCAGUUCUGACACUGAGGCGCGACAGCGUGGGGAGCAAACAGG
Molecule: ribosomal RNA, 253 nt
Filed under: uncultured bacterium
Lineage: Bacteria
Description: partial 16S ribosomal RNA
Rfam family: Bacterial small subunit ribosomal RNA
Source: RNAcentral